ACAAAGCUUAUGUUUUAGGUCCACCCGAAGCCAUUCAUGACAUACAACACUUACUCCAAAACAAAAUCUGGUAUAUGGGUACCUAGCUCCAUGUAUAAGGCUAACUGGUCUGAUCAGCUGAAGAAUUUCAUCAAGAAAAACUGGAACAAUGUGACAGUCCAAAAUCUAUUGAGUUGAUUUACUUGAACCCAAACUAAGAUAAUAUUACUAUUAAGUGACAAAAAUUUGUUAGAUACAUGCCACUCAAAGUGGUACAGUAGUGCUAUAAAUAGAACAUAUAUUUUUCAAAAGUGUUGGAGAUUUCAAGAGAGAGCAAAGAGCAAGUGGCCAAGAGUCCCCUCCCCACAAGGCCUUAGGAUAUAUUUAUAGGAGAAGGGAGAUUGUUGUUUAUGUUUACUGCCCUAAUCUACACGGAUGAACCCUAGAUUGGGACUGAUUGUGAGACCCUUUUCUCAUCGGGAGCCGUGGCUCCGUAACUAAGAUAAACCCUAGAUUGUGGGCUGAUUGAGACCCUUUCCUCGUCGUGAGUUUGGCGCCUUCCCUUUACGCUGGAGUCGAUGCGAUUAGAGCUAUUGAUUAGGGGCGAUUGGGGUGUCUGUCUACUUCUUUGGACAAAUUAAAGGACCUCUGCUAUCAUCUGUGUUGGUGACAUGUGAGUCUUACAAAGUGCAUACUGAUUCUGCAACCGCUAUUUUUUCUCAUAUUGUGCACUAUUUGGGGUAUGCUUAUCUUAUAUGGAGAUGACAAAAAGGAAGAAUACAAACGUUAAGAGGAGCAAUUAGUGACAAAAAUUUGACAUGGAUACCACUACUUAAAGUUAUGCAACAUAUGGUUAAGAGGAGCAAUUAGUGACAAAAAUUUGUUAGAUACAUGCCACUCAAAGUGGUACAAUAGUGCUAUAAAUAGAACAUAUAUUUUUCAAAAGUGUUGGAGAUUUCAAGAGAGAGCAAAGAGCAAGUGGCCAAG
Molecule: long non-coding RNA, 966 nt
Filed under: Sorghum bicolor (sorghum)
Lineage: Eukaryota; Viridiplantae; Streptophyta; Magnoliopsida; Poales; Poaceae
Description: long non-coding RNA (SBIC_LNC013432)
Source: RNAcentral